This 581-nucleotide ribosomal RNA is filed under the name uncultured fungus. Its description in RNAcentral is "SSU rRNA". It matches the Rfam family "Eukaryotic small subunit ribosomal RNA", at positions 84 to 668 of the family's 1831-position model. The record is from RNAcentral. Lineage: Eukaryota; Fungi.
AAACUGCGAAUGGCUCAUUAAAUCAGUUAUCGUUUAUUUGAUAGUACCUUACUACUUGGAUAACCGUGGUAAUUCCAGAGCUAAUACAUGCUAAAAACCCCGACUUCGGAAGGGGUGUAUUUAUUAGAUAAAAAACCGAUGCUCUUCGGGGCUCCUUGGUGAUUCAUAAUAACUUAACGAAUCGCAUGGCCUUGUGCCGGCGAUGGUUCAUUCAAAUUUCUGCCCUAUCAACUUUCGAUGGUAGGAUAGUGGCCUACCAUGGUUUCAACGGGUAACGGGGAAUUAGGGUUCUAUUCCGGAGAGGGAGCCUGAGAAACGGCUACCACAUCCAAGGAAGGCAGCAGGCGCGCAAAUUACCCAAUCCCGACACGGGGAGGUAGUGACAAUAAAUACUGAUACAGGGCUCUUUUGAGUCUUGUAAUUGGAAUGAGUACAAUUUAAAUCCCUUAACGAGGAACAAUUGGAGGGCAAGUCUGGUGCCAGCAGCCGCGGUAAUUCCAGCUCCAAUAGCGUAUAUUAAAGUUGUUGCAGUUAAAAAGCUCGUAGUUGAACCUUGGGCCUGGCUGGCCGGUCCGCCUCAC